UACGGAGGGUGCGAGCGUUGUCCGAAAUCAUUGGGCGUAAAGGGCGCGUAGGUGGCCCGCUCAGCGUGCGGUGAAAGCCUGGGGCUCAACCCCGGGUCGGCCGUGCGAACUGGUGGGCUGGAGCACUGUAGAGGCAGGCGGAAUUCCGGGUGUAGCGGUGGAAUGCGUAGAGAUCCGGAAGAACAUCGGUGGCGAAGGCGGCCUGCUGGGCUGUUGCUGACACUGAGGCGCGACAGCGUGGGGAGCAAACAGG
RNAcentral lists this ribosomal RNA (253 nucleotides) under uncultured bacterium. RNAcentral's name for it is "partial 16S ribosomal RNA". It matches the Rfam family "Bacterial small subunit ribosomal RNA", at positions 524 to 776 of the family's 1533-position model. The record is from RNAcentral.